RNAcentral lists this transfer-messenger RNA (337 nucleotides) under human gut metagenome. It matches the Rfam family "transfer-messenger RNA". From Rfam's summary of the family: Bacterial tmRNA, also known as 10Sa RNA or SsrA, is named for its dual tRNA and mRNA-like properties. Its role is to liberate the mRNA from a stalled ribosome. The record is from RNAcentral.
GGGGUAGUAAAGGUUUCGACGGGGGUUAUGCAGCUGGAGAAGCUAUCCGCAGGCGAUGCGUCAAAUCGCGACAAUAAAUAUAAACGCUGAAGAUAAUUUAGCAAUCGCUGCCUAAUGGCAGCUGUCUGACUUAGAGCACCUGCACUUUAAGAUCCAGGCAUCGACUAUGCAGGAAACGACGUAUGUUAAGCUUUGCGCAUGCGGGCGUAUCAUGAAGCUACCAAAGGCAGCCAGGUGUCAGUUCCCGGCUGUCGGAGGGAAUGAUAAAUAACUGACUAUGAUAGUAGAAGGACAGUGAAUUGGCUUUCGGACACGGGUUCGAUUCCCGUCUACUCCA